This 1279-nucleotide long non-coding RNA is filed under the name Cyanistes caeruleus (blue tit). Its description in RNAcentral is "lncRNA (ENSCCEG00000010019.1)". The record is from RNAcentral. Lineage: Eukaryota; Metazoa; Chordata; Aves; Passeriformes; Paridae.
UAGAAGACAGAGAAGUCACCAUCCUCAGCACUCAAACAGCUGCUCUAGAAAGCUGCUUUCCAAGCCCACAGAGAUUAAGAAAAAAACAGAUGGGCUUAAAUUGCAUGAAAAUUGCGAUCCAAGUUAGGCAUAAAGAAUUCUCUAAUUGUAAGAAUAUCUUUGAAUUAGAUUACCACAGGAAUGGGAAUAUUUAAUGUUUACUCUGAAAAAGAUUACAGAUUGAAUGAUUGCUGAAUGCCCAUUAAUAACAUAUUUUCUGUUAUUCUAUGAUAAUUAUUAUGGAAUGUGAAAAUUAGAGGUGUUGUGUGAAGGAACUGGGAAACAAGAGAAUGAGUUCUUUACUUACAGGAGAAAAAUUAGAGUGUACUGCAGGAAUGAAGUAGGAGGAAGUUUGGACACGGCAGAUGAGAGGAACAAGAAAACGUGAGGCAGAGAGUGAAGAAGAGUGUCAGGGUUGACAGAAGGCACACAGGAGCAAAGGGAAUAAAUGGGCAAAGCCCACAAAUGCAGGGUUGCAGGAAGGAAUACAGAUAAGCAGUGGGCUGGGAAGCCUUAGGCAGUCCCAUAAAAACAACACACUAAAGCACAAAAAAGACAGCUUGGGAGACAAAGACAAAGCAACACUAAAGAACCAUCACGUGUUCAGCAAUACCACAGUCUUUAUCACCCUUGUUAAAUGUUAUUUUCAUGCAACUUCCUCAAGGGGAGAUGACUCAGCGAGAGAGUAAACCAUAAUGCUCCAUUGACACCAGUGGCCAUAUGUGCUGGUAAUCAGCCUGAAGGCAGCAGAGACAGUUCAGAGAAUCAGCAUGGCCAUGUGAACUUCAUCCUUUACCCUGGAGACUGAGUACUUCUGUAGUCCACUGCUGCCAGAUAGGUAAAAAUACAGGAUGCAUAGAGCAUAUGGACAGCUGUAAAGUCUGUCAUUAAUGCUUCUGGCCGCUAGUACAAACUUCUGUUUAAAUUAAGCAUCAGGGCAGGUUCUUUGGUUGCAUAAAUUGCAGGUCUUUAGUGAUUGGCAUAAAAAAUGUCAAUCACAAGCUUUGGCUGCCAGAAAUAGGGACUGCUAAGUGUUCAGAUAGGUGAGAUGUCAUCUUGUGAAGAAAAAAAAAGCAGAAAGAAAAAUAUUUUCAAUUCACCUUAUGACUAGUAGCUAAUUGGCUGACAUUUCAAAACCCUGUGUUCACACAUCUCAUAUUCUUCACACUAAAUGAGAGACUGAAAACACUGAAGAAAAUGUAUUUUCGGGCAUAGGAAGAAGCAUUGGAUGGAAAUGAAA